This 72-nucleotide transfer RNA is filed under the name Brassica napus (rape). RNAcentral describes it as "tRNA-Gln (CTG) (tRNA-Gln-CTG-13-1)". It matches the Rfam family "tRNA". From Rfam's summary of the family: Transfer RNA (tRNA) molecules are approximately 80 nucleotides in length. Lineage: Eukaryota; Viridiplantae; Streptophyta; Magnoliopsida; Brassicales; Brassicaceae. The record is from Rfam by way of RNAcentral.
GGUUCUAUGGUCUAGCAGUUAGGACAUUGGACUCUGAAUCCAGUAACCCGAGUUCAAAUCUCGGUAGAACCU